UCGCGGGGCGAAAACGCGAAAUGGCAGAAAACAUCCACCACAGGAAACAUUAUAUUGUUGGAGUAUUUUUGUGAAGAUGUUUUAUUGUAUGCAAUCUUUAAUACAUGAAAUGGUUAUAACGUUAAGUUGAGAAAACGGAACAUAACAAUUAUAUUUGACAUUUGAGCUCCAUUUGUAAUCUUGACUUUGAACUUUGAAACGGAUAGAUAAGCUUAUGGUCGAUUUUAAAACUUGUAGGUUCAUAUUUCGAUAUUUUCUAAGACUUUAAAAACCAAAUGCAUGCGAUGACUUAUAGAUUAGGCAGAUGACGGACCAGUAGGAAUGAGCAGGCUGCUAGAGGUCAACGGCAAAUAUUACUUGUUUGGACAUUUAACAUUUGAAGGAUUUACAUUAACAUAAAGGAUUUAAAAGACAAGAGAGGGCUUCCUUUCUUUCGAAAUACUAAGUUAAGAUUAGAUUAUAUGUAAAACAUUUUUAAAUUGAUACUUAUUGAAUUUAAUUCAACCAGGACAGGAUUUUGAUUAUUCUUGCAAAUUGGAAUCGGACUUAACGCCCAGUCCAGCAUGGCAACAAGAAACUCAGGGGCUCAAGCUGAGGACAUCACGAAGCAAAACGAGGACAGCACGCGGCAAAAUGAGGACAGCAUGCAGCAAAAUGAGGACACCAAGCUGACUAUUGAGUCGAUGCCUGAGAUAGAAAGGAAACAGCACGAGAAGAUGUCCAAUAAAGAUCGACAUAAACCAUCAGCGUUUGCCGUUGUCAUAAAGUGGUUGUUUACUAUAAUAUUUGGGAUUCUUCUUCUAGCUUGUCUAACCGUGAGCAAAACAUCGAUACUAGCUUUAUUCGAAGCAAUGAGCCUAGACCCAGAAUUGGAUAUCAAUUCAAGAUGCAGAUUGUUUGUCAAGUUACAGAUACUAACGCUUGUUCCUAACAUUAUUAAUCUUCUAAUAAGUCUGUGGGCCGGAGCGUUCAGACAAGACUUACCGAUGCCGUCUGGCAAAACUAUUCUUUGCGUAAGAUGUUUGUUUUCAUUUUUAUAGAAGGAAUGCUGAUUAGAGUAAUAUUUAAUUAAGUUGCUACAAUGUUUUUGAAGCGAUAGUCCUAUAUGCGGUAAUUCUUUAUACCACUACGGUGGUUCAAGUAUGAAUUGAAAGUAAACACUACAGAGUAAUUCAAUCAUAGUUUGUUCUCUUCCCUUAGUAAGUUAUCCACGGUUACAUAAUUGAAAAAAGAGAUAACUAUUAAACCGACGCUUCAAAUAAAACAUAGCCUGCAAGGUAGGUGUAUUUGCAAGUGGAAAUGUAUGGAAAUAAACAAGAAGCUUUUUUCUUGAAUUUGAAUUAAAUUAGAGCUUAUUGAAAUAGAAAAGGUGAAAACUUCACAGGUCACUCAACACGACAAAAAUGAAAAUUUUGCAGGCUCAGUUUUAUUGAGCCUGUUCAUGGACGGUAGUGAAAAUGCAUGCUACCGUCCACGCCCUCUAACCACGGGUUGCCCGAAACGAGAAAACAAUGGGCAGAACUAAACAAACUGGAAUUUAGAAAGCGGAUCUGAGGAUAUGGAGCCUGCAUAUCACAGGAAUUGUCAAAAGACAGAGUUAUAAAGCAGACACCAUAUUCAAGGGGUGAUUAUACAAUACCCAAGGCUAUGAAAGCGAAAGUAUUGGAACCACCCGGCCGAAAUGAUCUUGCUGAGAAACUAAACAGUACAAAAACACAACAUAAAAGUCGUGCUGAACGAUCUGACCCAUGGUGGUUUUAGUUCAUAAGUGAUCUGUUUUCAGUCGAAACUCUUCUAUCGUUGUCGAAGAUCAUGAUUGUAUUAACGAAAUGCCAAUUGAACUCAAUCAUUUUAGGAUGUCUGAUAUUUUGAAAAAGCACAUUAAGAAGCAGA
Long non-coding RNA from Mercenaria mercenaria, 1893 nucleotides. RefSeq lists it as uncharacterized. The transcript is spliced from 2 exons. The record is from RefSeq and is a predicted model, not a curated record. Lineage: Eukaryota; Metazoa; Mollusca; Bivalvia; Venerida; Veneridae.